This 453-nucleotide long non-coding RNA is filed under the name Bos taurus (domestic cattle). Its description in RNAcentral is "long non-coding RNA NONBTAT012800". Lineage: Eukaryota; Metazoa; Chordata; Mammalia; Artiodactyla; Bovidae. The record is from RNAcentral.
AUAAAAAGAAAGACUGGGAAUGUCUUAUUUUAUUAAUCACUUAUCAAGCAAGAGAGAGUACAGCUGCUUGGUUUAAGUAAUACAGGGCACGAUGCCACAGACCCUUCCAGGUGAUGAUCUGAACUGCAAAGAUGGUCCAGCUUUCCCCCUGCCUGUCCAGCACUGAGUAGGGCCACAAGCUCCCUCCUCACCCUGGGGCAGCCGGAAGUUGUCCAGGGGCUUCUGGGUGUGGUGCAGAGGGUCGGGUUUCAGCUGUCAAUCGUGUUGAUGCUGCCUUUCAACCUGGCAGGCCUUAGUCUUGGGUUUUGAGGCUUCCCUUGCACUUGCCCAUCUGCUUUGCUCACCCAUCGUUCUCCUCAACUUCUCAAGGGCCUCUUAUCACUAACAGCUGAUACACCGAUAGAUGAUGAACAGGCAGGUUUAAUUAAUCCUGGGGCAGUUCACAGCUCACUG